UACAGCCAUAUCAUAUUGAAACACUAGUUCUCAUCUGAUCACUGAAGUUAAGCAAUGUCAAGGCUGGUCAGUAGCUGGAUGGAUGACUGCUUGAGAAUAGCAGGUACUGUAAG
Molecule: non-coding RNA, 113 nt
Organism: Acanthosepion pharaonis
Lineage: Eukaryota; Metazoa; Mollusca; Cephalopoda; Sepiida; Sepiidae
Source: the annotation of a GenBank genome assembly